Molecule: ribosomal RNA, 2700 nt
Filed under: Triticum aestivum (bread wheat)
Lineage: Eukaryota; Viridiplantae; Streptophyta; Magnoliopsida; Poales; Poaceae
Description: partial small subunit ribosomal RNA
Source: RNAcentral
AUGUGGAAUGCGACCCCUGACGUCUUGCCGUCCCCAACCUCACCUCCAGUGCGCACGGCAACACCGGCUGUGUUCAUGGCUGGUAAUACCACCGCAUCGGAGCACCCCACCUGCUUGGACCCUUCCGUCAACAACCGCAUGCCAUCUGCUCCGACCGUCGUUGUUAACAAGGUCCACGACGUCGCCUCUGACUUCUGCCGCGAGCCAGCAGUCGACCUCACCGUCGAUGACACUGUCACUGCAGUAUCCCCAGAUGUCUCCUCCUGCACCGCCAGGGCCCCGGAGAUCCUCGAGGUCGUUCAGGAUGUGUCCCCUGACUGCAUCGAGACGGCGCCUGUCGCAUGUUCGACAAAAUGCUCGUACGAGGUCGCCACCACCGACAUGGUCAAAAAGGUCUGUGAUGGCACUUCUGCCAUUCUCCUGGAGCCUGCGGUCGACCUCAACGACACCAAGCCCACCCUUGAAAUGGCCGAACCAGAAGACCAGGAAGAGUACCAGGUUGUGGCGACAGUGUCCCAGGCUAUCGACAUCACCAUGGAUGUCAAAUUUGCCACUUCUGUACCUCUCCCGCUCUUGUGGUACGGCCCUGACAUCACCAACCACUACCCCGAUGCUGCUGAUGCAUCCCUGAGUCCAAUGGUCACACGUCCGGCUGCGUCAGUGUCCUUGGAUGCCUUCUCGACCAUCUUGCUGCAGCAACAGUGUCCGUCCCCUAUUCAAGUACAGAGUGCAGCGAACGGUGCUAUUCAGGUCCUUGGCAUACUGGCGACCUGUGACUCUGGCUAUAUUUGGCGGCCACCUGACCAUCAACCAAGGAUGAGGAGCAACUUGCAGCAAUUUCUACAUGACGCUCAAUUGCAAGUUUUUCUGGUAUCUCCAGUGGAGCAGCUUACUUUCUUGGUUUUCAGUGAGCCGAAUGAUUGUUGUGAUGAGACUACUGCACAUGCUGGAAAAAGGACAAUGGAAUACAACAUUCAGUUUGUUUUUCCUACCUCUUUUGAACAAAUGCAAUGGAAAGCUGCAUGGCCAUUCGGUUCUGAGAGGAAAAUUCAAAUGCAACUCGCAGAAAAUGGGGAUGUUCUACCCCAGGGCAAGGCUCAUGGUUGCCAUGUGUGGUGGCCGCCUGAUCAGCCGCCAAGGGUGACGACCAAGUUGCACGAAUUGCAUUCUCCGGCUCAGUUACAGACUCCUAUUGUCAAUUUAAUGGAGUUCCUACCAUGGCCUUCUUUGAAACUUCAAUUCCAAGUGGCUUUGAAGACAUGCGAUUGUCAGCAUUUUAUAUCAGCCAAGUCUUGUAAUCUAUUGUUGGAGCCUGAUCAAACAAAAAAUCAUGGAGUGCUGGUGAAGUUCGGAAGAUUGCACAUUUUUUUAGUCUCUUCAGUCAAGCUGCAACCAUGGCCUUCUGGGAAUCUUCAACUUAUAGUUCUUCAUGUUAUUGUCGUUCAUGUCAAGGGAUAUAUGUUCACACAUUUCGAGCAUCAGUUCUUUUCGCAGUUACUUUUUGCUCGUAAUCAGACUGAUGAUUUUGGUUGUAUGAUUUGGGAUCCAGGAUGGAUGUUCUGCUGCACUACCAUACUCAGCUCAGGUGAUAUCACUGGGUACUUGCAUCAGAUGAUUCUUUCCAUUCUGAGAAGUUCAGCAAAAUGUACACAAGCCGAGCUAGCACAUGGAUAUAAAUAUUCACUUUUUAGUUUGCACAUAUCAACUUCUGGGACUGGGAUUGAGUGUUGUUCAUCUAUAUUGUCUACAUUCGGUGAGUCGUUGUUGCAUCUUCAUAGGGCACUGCUGCUAUUACCUUGGCCGCCACCUACUGGUGCACAUGGAUUGCAAUCGAUGGUCCUUUCCACGGAAGAAUUCAGUUUGCUGUUCAGUACACUUGUGUUGCUUUGUUUCCCUUCUGGACCAAUAUCAUGCGCGGCUGAUCAUCCAGGCUGGGCUGACGAACCGAAUGUUGUCUGUGCUGUUGUUGUCUAUUUGUUUGAGGACUAUUUGAGGUCUGUUAAUCUUGAGAUGCAACAGGCAUGGUCACCGCUACUAAAAGCUGAUUCUGAAACUUUGUCUCUGUCUACAUACAGUCUAUGGUCUGAACUACCUAUAGAAGUUAACCAAGUUAUAUACAUGAGGCAAUUUAACUACAAGGGCUUGCAAUCUUAUUCAUGCUAUGUGAUGCAGCUGCGGGAAGUCACUUGCAGGGCAACAGUUAACUCCACAGUAGUCACAAGGAACAAUAUGGACAAAGGAUCUAAUCCCCUGAUUGCUUGGCUCCAUAUAUUGAGAUUUCUAUCACAUGUUAAUUCCGCAUCUAUCGGUGCGACGAACAAGUUUGAGCAGCUCCGGGAACUUACUUUGUGCAUGUCUUGGAAUCCUGGAGAGAGGUGUGACACAACCCUAGUUGCCCUCAACAACAAGACUCGCUUCACAGGCGACUGCUACUUGGAUCACGCCAUCUCAGAGAAAAAUUCCGUCGACCACAAGUACUGCAUCGGCUUCGACGUAGACCCUACAGACAACGACUACUUCCUCGACAUCUCCUUCGACCGGGUCUCCAUUGGGAACAAAUAUUGCUACCACCUUGUUGCAGUCUACCCUGUCUUCGGCUACCACUGCAACUUCGGCCAAGUUCAAGAGCAUCGAGCGCAAUGGGAUCCGGGCGGGCAUCAGCUUGGGGUCAAGCCGAGUUUCAAGGAGGGGGGAUGUUAG